This 483-nucleotide ribosomal RNA is filed under the name Pichia kudriavzevii. RNAcentral describes it as "eukaryotic LSU rRNA". The stretch from base 107 to 259 matches the Rfam family "5.8S ribosomal RNA". Lineage: Eukaryota; Fungi; Ascomycota; Pichiomycetes; Pichiales; Pichiaceae. The record is from RNAcentral.
GCUUCGGGUUUUUUGGUCUACCCUGCGUGAGCGGACGAAAACAACAACACCUAAAAUGUGGAAUAUAGCAUAUAGUCGACAAGAGAAAUCUACGAAAAACAAACAAAACUUUCAACAACGGAUCUCUUGGUUCUCGCAUCGAUGAAGAGCGCAGCGAAAUGCGAUACCUAGUGUGAAUUGCAGCCAUCGUGAAUCAUCGAGUUCUUGAACGCACAUUGCGCCCCUCGGCAUUCCGGGGGGCAUGCCUGUUUGAGCGUCGUUUCCAUCUUGCGCGUGCGCAGAGUUGGGGGAGCGGAGCGGACGACGUGUAAAGAGCGUCGGAGCUGCGACUCGCCUGAAAGGGAGCGAAGCUGGCCGAGCGAACUAGACUUUUUUUCAGGGACGCUUGGCGGCCGAGAGCGAGUGUUGCGAGACAACAAAAAGCUCGACCUCAAAUCAGGUAGGAAUACCCGCUGAACUUAAGCAUAUCAAUAAGCGGAGGAA